This 514-nucleotide long non-coding RNA is filed under the name Brassica rapa (field mustard). Its description in RNAcentral is "long non-coding RNA (BRAP_LNC000505)". The record is from RNAcentral. Lineage: Eukaryota; Viridiplantae; Streptophyta; Magnoliopsida; Brassicales; Brassicaceae.
UUUACUGCCGGUGCGUGAGUCGAUGGUGGAAAUGGCUUCUCCUUUUUUUAUUCUUUGUUCUUUUUGCUAGAGCUUCACUGGUUUUCUCUUUUUUGAUUAAAUAUGUUUCAGAGGCCCAAUUUUAUUUUUAUUUUUAGCGGUUUGGAAGAAUCGAGGCCUACAAUAGAGUGGCUGCCGAUCCUUGUUAUGUUAGAUCUCCUAUCUCGUUGCUUUUCUGGCUAAUAAUCCGUUUCGGGACGUCAGAGGAGAUGAGACACCAUCAGAUCUAGAGUUUUAUGUGGAAUAGGGCUUGUUCUGGCAUCUCAAAAGUGUCGGUAAUUUUGCCAUGUGACUUAUUCGGUUGCUCUCCCCACGUCUUAUGGGGUAGCUGCUGAGGUGGUGUAGCUUAGGUCGAGGUGGUUAGAAGACGACUUCUCUUUAUGUGUAGAUCUAGGGUUUCUAUUCAAUUAAUUUAAUCUAGUUUUUACUAGAUUGGUUCUGGUUUUUGACUCGAAUUUUAGUUUGUAAACCCAAG